GGCCUAACACAUGCAAGUCGAGCCGCACCCUUCGGGGCGAGCGGCGGACGGGUUAGUAACGCGUGGGAACAUACCCUUUACUACGGAAUAGCCUCGGGAAACUGAGAGUAAUACCGUAUGUGCCCUUCGGGGGAAAGAUUUAUCGGUAAAGGAUUGGCCCGCGUAAGAUUAGAUAGUUGGUGGGGUAAUGGCCUACCAAGUCAACGAUCUUUAGCUGGUUUUAGAGGAUGAUCAGCAACACUGGGACUGAGACACGGCCCAGACUCCUACGGGAGGCAGCAGUGGGGAAUCUUAGACAAUGGGCGCAAGCCUGAUCUAGCCAUGCCGCGUGUGUGAUGAAGGCCUUAGGGUCGUAAAGCACUUUCGCCAGGGAUGAUAAUGACAGUACCUGGUAAAGAAACCCCGGCUAACUCCGUGCCAGCAGCCGCGGUAAUACGGAGGGGGUUAGCGUUGUUCGGAAUUACUGGGCGUAAAGCGUACGUAGGCGGAUCAGAAAGUAAGGGGUGAAAUCCCAGGGCUCAACCCUGGAACUGCCUCUUAAACUCCUGGUCUUGAGUUCGAGAGAGGUGAGUGGAAUUCCGAGUGUAGAGGUGAAAUCGUAGAUAUUCGGAGGAACACCAGUGGCGAAGGCGGCUCACUGGCUCGAUACU
This 650-nucleotide ribosomal RNA is filed under the name Sulfitobacter sp. Gbf-Lam-21. RNAcentral's name for it is "bacterial SSU rRNA". It matches the Rfam family "Bacterial small subunit ribosomal RNA", at positions 45 to 741 of the family's 1533-position model. Lineage: Bacteria; Pseudomonadati; Pseudomonadota; Alphaproteobacteria; Rhodobacterales; Roseobacteraceae. The record is from RNAcentral.